This 1286-nucleotide long non-coding RNA is filed under the name Macaca mulatta (Rhesus monkey). RNAcentral describes it as "lncRNA (ENSMMUG00000056573.1)". Lineage: Eukaryota; Metazoa; Chordata; Mammalia; Primates; Cercopithecidae. The record is from RNAcentral.
GUAUUUUUAUAUAAUUUAGUUCCAUCGCAAAAAUCACUCCAGUGGAAAUUACCUUCCAGGAAGCCAAGUUCUUCAAGAAAGUUUCCAGGUUUCUAUGAAGGCAAAGAAGUUUCUGCCCUCUUCUAUGGAAGUCACCCCCAAACAACAAGAGCAUGAGAACCAGAACCACAACUCCCUUUUGGACAACACCAGAAGAUAUCUGUAACUCAGAACCUGCUUGUACAAGAGGGCAGUGGCAGGAAAGGUCAAACCAAGUGCCCCAUUAAAGGCUCAGGAACCCAUGGCCCCAAUGACGGCUGAAGGGCGUGGAAGUCAUCCAACAGCUGCUGGAGGGACUGUGCAGAGUUACGACGGAGAGAGUGACUCCUCCGAAGGGGACUCGAGGGUGAAGCAUCUUGAUGUCUUUAUCUGCGGGGUCUUUUCAAGCCCAAAGCCGUGGUUUUCAAUCCUGAGCUUGUUCUAGUCAUCUCCAACAACAAACAUGUGCAAUUGUCAAUGCCAAAUCAAUAUAUAUUGGUUUAAAAUGUUUGUAAUACAGAUGUAUGUUGUCAGGAAAUCUUAGAGGGAGUUGAAGGCCACAGUCCACCUGACAGUAAUAUCAAUUGUUGACUAAGAUGGUAGCUUGCACGUGAGACUGUCUAGAUUCAAAUCCAGUCCAACUUCUCUCUGUCUCUGUUUCUUCUCUUUCCCAGUAGCUGUGUAACGUGGGGUAAGUCAUUUCACGUCUCAGCUUCCUCAUCUACAAAAUGGAAAAAAAGGAAAGUCAUAUUUUUGUGCAGAUUAAAUGAGACUACGCAUGAAAGAGAUUAUAGUGGUACCUGGAAUGUAAUGCUUAAUAGAUAUUAACAUUUUUAUUCUUAGAAAAACAAAUCCACUAGAUGUUUAAAGUCCUUAGAAGACUCAUCUCUCUUAGAGACUGGCCUUCUGUGCUUUUUUUUUCCUGUUUCAGUUUGUGAACUUUGGAAUACAGGAUUUUCUAACACGUCCUGCUACUGCUCUCUUAAGCUCCUACCUGGAUUUGGUCAUUGAGACGCUGAUGUCUCCAGUUUUUUACCUUGCUUCAUCCUUGCAUCUACCUACUCAGCAUCCUACAUCUUGAUUUCUAUGGCUCUGCUUCUAGACCUAGGAUAGACCCUGAUCUUAGUUACUCCCUUGUUUAGGAAUAAAUUUCUUGUAUUCUCGAUGGUGGAUUUGAGUGUGAUGGUGGAUCCAGGAUUGUAAAUAAAAAGAGUAGGGAAGGAACCUAGGGCCUUUGUAAAAAGAAAUCAGAUGUCUUAGCAUCCUGU